GCUGAUUAUAGUUUAAUACUUUCAUAUUUAGUGUAUUUGAAAAAAAAUUGGUUUUUCUAUUUUAUAUGUUCAUCGUUAUUUAUUUCCUAAAGCUAAGUGUUCAAUUUAAUUUUCAUUAUUGAUAUUGGGUGUGCAUUCAAUUGGAUGCGGUAUUUUCAUAAUCGUUAAUAUGUCACUUUUUAAAAUUACUACUCUGAAAUGUUGCAUAACCAAAUUAUUGAGGGGUUCAGUUUUCAGUUUCAAUAAGAUGUUACAUUCCAAACAGUUAUUACAAUUUUCUUCAAUCUUGUUCAUAGUUAUCUAACAAUUCUUAAAUUCAAUAUUACAAAUAUUGAUAACAGGUAUAUUUUUUGUAAGUAUAAGUAUUUAUUUAUAAAAUAAAAGUUAUUUUUAGCGAAAGUAAAAAAAGUUACCCAUUGCUAACACCUAAGAUACUUCAGUUUAUUUAAAUUAACCCAAUGUAUGCCCAAUCAAUGACCAAACUAGGUACUGUAGAUAGGUAGUUGAAAAACAAAUUAUUUUUCUUAUGCUAUAUAGAAAUAUCAGUCUUUCAGUUGCACAAAAGAAGUAUACAAUUACACGUGUCUGCAAGCCACAGAGAGAAUGCCGGGAAUAUAUAUACCUAUCUUAAUGCUCUAUACUCCAAUGGAUCACUUUCACAUUAAUCAACUUUUGGGCAUGGCUGAGAACUGACACUUUACCCUCACAUAGUCACAUUUCAGGCACAAUAAAAUUUGUAAAAACCAGUAUAACGUGUAUAUUGGGAUGGGAUUCAAUUUUACGGUAUGUCAGAAACAAGUUGACCUGUGUUUACAAUUUGAUAAGAAUAAACCCUAUUGCUACCUGUAUAUUCCAUAUGGUUCUUAAUACUUUACUUAUCAUUAAACAUUUGAAGAAAAUCUUCAUGAUGCAUUCAUUGUUUAAAGUCUUUACAGAUGCUUGCCCUACCAUUUUGUCAGAGAGAAUUUGGAGAGUUCCUUCAGUGGUAGACUGUCCUUCAUUCUCUUUUGGCUUGAAACAAUAACUCCUGAGAGAUUCACAGUAAUAUGAUUGAAGUAUAAGAACUAACAGUUAUUUAAAAAGUUUCCAUGAUGUGUUAUUGAAAAUUGCAACACCUCAUCCAAAAAUAUGGGAGUUUAUUGACCAGUUGAGAUAUUUGGAAAAUACAAGUGAAGUGGAAUUCAAAUAGACACGAGGAAUCUGAGAGUAAGUUUCAACACAAUAUAAAAAUUAAAAUUGAAUAUUCUUUAAUUUCAAUUUUUUUUUUUUUUAAUGAAAUAUAUAUAUUUGGUUGGACGUAAAAGGCACAACAUAAGAUCACUGAACACUAAACAAAUUUGACAGUUCAUCAAUGACUUUAUAGUUGAUUAUUCUGAAAAAUGUGUAAUAACAUUUCUACUUAAAUAGAGGCCAUGGGAUGGAUGGAUCAUAGCACAGCAAAUUGAUCCUUAUCAAGAUAAUUCAAAAUUUUAAUCAGAGAUAAGCUCUUAAAUUUUUUAAUUAUUGUAUGUCUUUUAAAGGAACCAUGCCUCCCACAAAAUAUUUUACAAUAAAAAUAAUGACCUAAUUGAACCGGAAGAUUAAUUAAAUCGUGAGUUUUUUGAUGAGUGUUUGUUCAUCAUGGUUAGUUUAAUCAUGCUUAAAAUUUUAAAGAAACUUAAUUCGGGCCGCCGUGCCAUACAAUAUGUGUAAUGUAUAAGGUAUACAAUUUGCACGUUUAUUUUAAUUAAUAACUAAUUUUUCGCUCAAAUUUCUUUAUUUUUUAGUAGAAUUUGGUAUUUUAAAAAAUGUUUUGCCAUUGGUUAAUCGGGCAGAUCAGGUUUAUGAAUGCAUCAAUUCGAAUUUUAGUACAUUGCCUAACAAGGUGGCUGUCGGCUGAGUUAAACGUAUAGCCGCUCAUCGGAAUGUACACAAUCAAACUAAUUAAUAAAAUUAAAAUUAAACAUAUUCCUAUAGAGUGCGCACCUAGCGGGGUCCGCAAUCCACCGCAGGUAGAAAGCCUACCUCAUAAAUCAUAAUAUACUGUUCACAUUAUCACAAACGAGUCUCAUAUAGAGCUGGCAUUUUUAAAGGGCAACGGAAUGCAAGGGAUCAGCUAGAAUAUAAAUAAUAAUGAUAAUAGAUAUUUAUUUUGACACGAUACUACGGCAGUUAAUUUGUCUACUGACGAUCGUACGUAGCAUCGGCUGCAACCGCUAUACUUAUGACGUAGGAAUACUUGUCGAAAUUAUAAACUGCAAACCAAUAUUACAUUUUUAUUAAGUUAAGAAAUAUAUGGAAAACACCGAAUAGCUCAAUUAUACAAAUUGCGUUAUUUUAUUUUUGAAAGGAUUUUUCAAAAUUAGACCUCUAAGGGGGUAAAAAGGGAGAUUUUUAUAUAGCUAUAUAAUACACGAGCAACGCCGUGACGGGACACCUAGUAAUGUAUAAAUUAAAUGUUUACUAUAUUCAUAAUAUAUUAUUCUAUGACGGCGCAAUAGAUAGGCAAUUUAGGGCCAUGCUAAACUUUAAAAUGUUUAAUAAUAUAAUAAUUAGAUUCCGAACAAAAAAAAAUGUCGAAAAAAAAGAAUGUCACAUUUGCGUAUAUUUUGUUGAUAUUCACGUUCAUAAUUUCACAUUUAGCGAUAUUAUUUUUGAUAUUGUAGUGAAUUAAACUAUUAUUGCCCUUAAGGUACGUUAGGUAUAAUACUUGAAUUGUUUUGUUUAUUUUGUUUUUCAAUAAAAAAAUAUUUAAUAAAAUGCGUUAAUUUUAAUGCAUAUACCAAAUUGUUUAAGCCGUUUGUGUGCUGUAUACAUAUUUAUCGUACAUGACAUCGAUUCUGUGUAGUAAUACAUUAUAUAAUUUGUCAUAAAGUUGAGUCUUGAUAACUUGAAUUUAUUUCUUGCCCUUUGAAGUGUUUUUAAGUUGUGUUUGAGGUAUAUGCUUAGGUUAAUCGAAUAACACAAAAGUUGAAUUUACUUAUAUUCUUCUUUGUGUUAUAUCAAGACUGUAUUUAUAGUUUAAUAGAUGUAAUUAGAUACCUAAGCUCAAUGUAUAUAUUUAUGAUUUUUGAUUUUUAUCCGAGGCAACUCAAAGUAUAUAUAUUAUUAUUUUCUAUAGCAAUAUUGACCGAACCGUUAUCCGGAUUAUAUAAUUACGUAAUUAUUCAUAUAAAUAUAUGAUCCACAUUUUCUAUGAAAUCCGUUGUAUCAGGAUUAUGGAAAGGAAAUCAUUAUUAAUUCAAAUUUUGGAUGUAAUUCAUUAAUUUGUCUAAAUUGGACUAGAUUUAAAAAGUAAAAACUAGAUACUGAACAUAUAAACUAUAAAGUUUUGUUAAGGAACUGAGUAGUAGAUGAUAGCUCUGUCAACAAGUGUAUAUUCAAAAUUUAACAUUUAUAAAUAUUAUAUAAUAUUUAUAUUAUUUUUGUGCGAGGGUAAUGACUAACUAACAUAGAA
Molecule: long non-coding RNA, 3436 nt
Organism: Myzus persicae (green peach aphid)
Lineage: Eukaryota; Metazoa; Arthropoda; Insecta; Hemiptera; Aphididae
Exons: 3
Source: RefSeq, a predicted model, not a curated record